This 515-nucleotide ribosomal RNA is filed under the name Candida albicans. RNAcentral's name for it is "eukaryotic LSU rRNA". The stretch from base 147 to 300 matches the Rfam family "5.8S ribosomal RNA". Lineage: Eukaryota; Fungi; Ascomycota; Pichiomycetes; Serinales; Debaryomycetaceae. The record is from RNAcentral.
GGGGACCCCGGGAUGCUUAUUGCACCACAUGUGUUUUUCUUUGAAACAAACUUGCUUUGGCGGUGGGCCCAGCCUGCCGCCAGAGGUCUAAACUUACAACCAAUUUUUUAUUAACUUGUCACACCAGAUUAUUACUAAAUAGUCAAAACUUUCAACAACGGAUCUCUUGGUUCUCGCAUCGAUGAAGAACGCAGCGAAAUGCGAUACGUAAUAUGAAUUGCAGAUAUUCGUGAAUCAUCGAAUCUUUGAACGCACAUUGCGCCCUCUGGUAUUCCGGAGGGCAUGCCUGUUUGAGCGUCGUUUCUCCCUCAAACCGCUGGGUUUGGUGUUGAGCAAUACGACUUGGGUUUGCUUGAAAGACGGUAGUGGUAAGGCGGGAUCGCUUUGACAAUGGCUUAGGUCUAACCAAAAACAUUGCUUGCGGCGGUAACGUCUACCACGUAUAUCUUCAAACUUUGACCUCAAAUCAGGUAGGACUACCCGCUGAACUUAAGCAUAUCAAAAGUGGGAAGGAA